AGCAGCCGCGGUAAUACGUAGGUGGCAAGCGUUGUCCGGAAUUAUUGGGCGUAAAGGGCUCGCAGGCGGUUUCUUAAGUCUGAUGUGAAAGCCCCCGGCUCAACCGGGGAGGGUCAUUGGAAACUGGGGAACUUGAGUGCAGAAGAGGAGAGUGGAAUUCCACGUGUAGCGGUGAAAUGCGUAGAGAUGUGGAGGAACACCAGUGGCGAAGGCGACUCUCUGGUCUGUAACUGACGCUGAGGAGCGAAAGCGUGGGGAGCGAACAGGAUUAGAUACCCUGGUAGUCCACGCCGUAAACGAUGAGUGCUAAGUGUUAGGGGGUUUCCGCCCCUUAGUGCUGCAGCUAACGCAUAAGCACUCCG
Molecule: ribosomal RNA, 362 nt
Filed under: Bacillus subtilis
Lineage: Bacteria; Bacillati; Bacillota; Bacilli; Caryophanales; Bacillaceae
Description: bacterial SSU rRNA
Rfam family: Bacterial small subunit ribosomal RNA
Source: RNAcentral